Molecule: ribosomal RNA, 972 nt
Filed under: Phaeobacter sp. CECT 5382
Lineage: Bacteria; Pseudomonadati; Pseudomonadota; Alphaproteobacteria; Rhodobacterales; Roseobacteraceae
Description: bacterial LSU rRNA
Rfam family: Bacterial large subunit ribosomal RNA
Source: RNAcentral
AACUAUAACGGUCCUAAGGUAGCGAAAUUCCUUGUCGGGUAAGUUCCGACCUGCACGAAUGGCGUAACGACUUCCCCGCUGUCUCCAACAUCGACUCAGCGAAAUUGAAUUGCCUGUCAAGAUGCAGGCUUCCCGCGGUUAGACGGAAAGACCCCGUGCACCUUUACUACAGCUUCGCACUGGCAUCAGGAUUGUGACGUGCAGGAUAGGUGGUAGGCAUCGAAACGUGAACGCUAGUUCACGUGGAGCCUCCCUUGAGAUACCACCCUUCGCACUCUUGAUGUCUAACCGCGGUCCGUUAUCCGGAUCCGGGACCCUGCGUGGCGGGUAGUUUGACUGGGGCGGUCGCCUCCUAAAGCGUAACGGAGGCGCGCGAAGGUUGGCUCAGAGCGGUCGGAAAUCGCUCGUUGAGUGCAAUGGCAGAAGCCAGCCUGACUGCGAGACUGACAAGUCGAGCAGAGACGAAAGUCGGCCAUAGUGAUCCGGUGGUCCCGAGUGGAAGGGCCAUCGCUCAACGGAUAAAAGGUACGCCGGGGAUAACAGGCUGAUACUGCCCAAGAGUCCAUAUCGACGGCAGUGUUUGGCACCUCGAUGUCGGCUCAUCUCAUCCUGGGGCUGGAGCAGGUCCCAAGGGUACGGCUGUUCGCCGUUUAAAGAGGUACGUGAGCUGGGUUUAGAACGUCGUGAGACAGUUCGGUCCCUAUCUGCCGUGGGUGUAGGAUACUUGAGAGGAGUUGCCCCUAGUACGAGAGGACCGGGGUGAACGAACCACUGGUGGACCAGUUGUCGUGCCAACGGCAGUGCUGGGUAGCUAUGUUCGGACAGGAUAACCGCUGAAGGCAUCUAAGCGGGAAGCCCCCCUCAAAACAAGGUAUCCCUGAGGGCCGAGGUAGACCACCUCGUCAAUAGGCCAGAGAUGUAAGCGUGGUAACACGUUCAGUUGACUGGUACUAAUCGCCCGAUUGGCUUGAU